This 53-nucleotide unclassified non-coding RNA is filed under the name Nitrosococcus oceani. Lineage: Bacteria; Pseudomonadati; Pseudomonadota; Gammaproteobacteria; Chromatiales; Chromatiaceae. The record is from RNAcentral.
AUAACACCCAAGCAAGUUGGUUAUUGUCUGACUUGAAAAAGCGAGACUUCCCC